AAGACCUUACUUCAUAGGAUCAUUUCUAUAGUAAGCUCUUCACCAGGCUAUCACAAUACGUGAGCUGACCCCAUCCACGAAGAUGAGAUGUGGCGCGGUGCCCUGAGCGUGAGAAAGGCAAAUGACUGUUUGGUCAUUAGCCAUCGAUGAUCGUUCACUUCCCUCUUCGGAGGGAGGCGUGGGGUACUGUCGCUGUCUGAGUGGC
Cydia strobilella is the source of this 205-nucleotide small nucleolar RNA. RefSeq annotates it as small nucleolar RNA U3. The transcript has a single exon. Lineage: Eukaryota; Metazoa; Arthropoda; Insecta; Lepidoptera; Tortricidae. The record is from RefSeq and is a predicted model, not a curated record.